AUGAACAUUCAAGUAAAAGAAUAUAAGGCAGAGAACUCAGGUCAGUGGUCUGAAAUUCUGGACCUGUUCAGAGAUAACCAGAGAAAGUCAGAGAGUUUGGACGUGAACUUUAAAGCAACACCCAGGAAACAGAAGUCUACUGAAUACAAGAUACUUGUCUUUGCUGGUGUCUCAUCCUUACUUGUAGCAAAUUUCGAGUAUGUGUUAAUUGCGAUUGGCAACCUCUCCAGAUUGCUGUUUUCUUUGCAAGCUGCACAAGGCCCACAUGGAAGCGCUACAUCUAAGGGACCUGCAGUUGGCAUUGAUCUUGGCACCACCUCCUAUGGUGUGGGUGUCUUCCAGCAUGGGAAAGUGGAAAUAAUUGCCAACGAUCAGGGAAACUGAACCACCCCAAGUUGUCACUUUUACUGAAAUCAAACGAUUGAUCAGCAAUGCUGCAAAGAAUGAAGUUGCAGUGAACCCCACCAACACAGUUUUUGAUGUCAAAUGCCUGAUCGGACAUAAAGUCGGUGAUGCUCUUGUCCAAUCUGAUAUGGAGCAUUGGCUCUUCAUGGUGGGGAAUGAUGUUGGCAGGCCCAAGGUCUAAGUAAAAUACAAGGGAAAGAAGAGGUGUCCUCUGUGGUUUUGACAAAGAUGAAGGAAAUCACAGAGGCUUAGACAGAAAGGUUGGAGCUGAAAGGAAUGUGCUCAUCUUUGAUGUAGGAGGUGGCACUUUUGAUGUCUCAAUCCCCACCAUUAAAAUGGGAUAUUUAAGGUCAAAUCUACAGCUGGAGACACCCACUUAGGUGUAGAAGACUUUGACAACCGAAUGGUCAACCAUUUUAUUGUGAAGUUCAAGUGCAAACAUAAGAAGGACAUCCACAAGAACAAGAGGGCAGUCCAUCACCUCCAGACUGCUUACGAGUGUGCUAAGCAUACAUUGUCUUCCAGCAAUGAGGCCAGUAUUGAGAUUGAUGCUCUGUAUGAAGGAAUUGACUUCCAUACCUCUAUGACUUGUCCCCGAUUUGAAGAAUUAAAUGCUGACCUGCUCUGUGGCACCCUGGACCUUAUAGAGAAAGCCCUUUGGGAUGCCAAGCUACACAAGUGUCAGAUCAAUGAUAUUGUCCUGGUGGGUGGUUCUAUCCAUAUCCCCAAGAUUCAGAAACUUCUGCAAGACUUCUUCAAUGGAAAGGAACUGAACAAGAGCAUCAGCCCUGAUGAGGCUGUUGCUUCUGGUGCAGCUGUCCAGACAGCCAUCCCUUCUGGAGACAAGUCUGAAAAUGUUCAGGAUUCCCUGCUGUUGGAUGUCACUCCUCUUUCUCUUGGCUUUGAAACUGCUGGAGGAGUCAUGACUGUCCUCACCAAGUGCAAUACUACCAUUCCUACCAAACAGAUGCAGACCUUCCCUACCUACUCUGACAACCAGCCUGGUGUGCUCGUUCAGGUUUAUGAAGGUGAGCGUGCCAUAACCAUGGAUAACAACCUACUUGGGCGUGCCCAGCCACAUUUUGAACUAAUAAGUCCUAAAUGUGGGACUGACAUAGGCAUUAAUGAAAAGGUAGUUGGUGAAGCCAAGAAAGUCCUUGAAGACAUGACUUUGCCAGAUAAGAGACAAAGUGCCAAAGAGUUUGUUUCAGACAGCUGGAUGCUGUUACCUCUGAUCCAAGGAAUGGUUCUUGCCCCGAAGUGGGUUUCAGAAUCUCCCAGAAGACUUAUUAAACACAGAUUGGUUGGCCCCAACUCCAGAGUUUCUGAUCCACAAGGAGGCCCAGAGCCCAGCCUCAGUGGUGGCAUCAGCCUUUAUGAUGUGCUCAUCCCAACUUGUGUGGUCUCAGCUCUCCGGCUGAACCUCACAUUCUCAGCCACCAUUCCACAAAAGGGCCCAACGGUACUGAUGGUAUCUGCCCAAGAACUUAAAGAAACUCACAUCGAGUUUCAGAGGAAGCCUAUCCAGCUGAGGCAGACCUCAGGUCUCAUGGAUGCCUCUUAUGGUGGAGGAACUAAACUCCUGGAGCUGCAGAACCCCUCGCUAAUGCCACACCUCACGAACUCCUGGACACAGUUGUCGUUCCUGGUGGUUUAUCUCUCCUCAAAUAUUGUGUUGUGGCAAAAUAUGCCCUAUGAUGGGCACUGCUGA
This is a non-coding RNA of Leptonychotes weddellii (Weddell seal), 2116 nucleotides long. Lineage: Eukaryota; Metazoa; Chordata; Mammalia; Carnivora; Phocidae. The record is from RefSeq and is a predicted model, not a curated record.